GGCUCAGGAUGAACGCUGGCGGCGUGCCUAACACAUGCAAGUCGAACGGAGUUUACAUUUUAGAUCUCUUCGGAGUGACGAGAUGUAAACUUAGUGGCGGACGGGUGAGUAACGCGUGAGCAACCUGCCUUUCAGAGGGGGGACAGCAGUUGGAAACGACUGCUAAUACCGCAUAACAUAUAUUUUUCGCAUGGGAGAUAUAUCAAAGGAGCAAUCCGCUGAAAGAUGGGCUCGCGUUGGAUUAGAUAGUUGGUGGGGUAACGGCCUACCAAGUCAACGAUCCAUAGCCGGACUGAGAGGUUGAACGGCCACAUUGGGACUGAGACACGGCCCAGACUCCUACGGGAGGCAGCAGUGGGGGAUAUUGCACAAUGGGCGAAAGCCUGAUGCAGCAACGCCGCGUGAGGGAAGAAGGUCUUCGGAUUGUAAACCUUUGUCCUUGAUGACGAAUAAAGUGACGGUAAUCAAGGAGGAAGUCACGGCUAACUACGUG
This 493-nucleotide ribosomal RNA is filed under the name uncultured bacterium. Its description in RNAcentral is "bacterial SSU rRNA". It matches the Rfam family "Bacterial small subunit ribosomal RNA", at positions 21 to 507 of the family's 1533-position model. The record is from RNAcentral.